This 491-nucleotide long non-coding RNA is filed under the name Mytilus galloprovincialis (Mediterranean mussel). The record is from RNAcentral. Lineage: Eukaryota; Metazoa; Mollusca; Bivalvia; Mytilida; Mytilidae.
AAUUUCCAUAUAAGCUGUACUAAAACUAAAUUAUUGUAAAAUUUUAGCGAUUUCUGUAAUAAUUUUUUUUUUUUAUUUCGAUAUUACCUUUAUUUCUCCUAUUACUUCAACAGAAAAAAAACACCUUUACAAAAAUGUAUGCUUCUUUCGAAGGCAGAUUGUGAGGGCAAAUGAACGGUGACCCCACUUUUUUAUUUUAUUUUUCUAUUAACUAUAAGAUAAAGUUCAUUUAUAGAAAAAUAUAGAGAAAUCCUAUAUAAAUGAUUUAGACCCGCGAACCCCCUUAAGUAAGAUCAAGACAAGAUCGAUAAAUUUAUUCAAUAUAAAUAUUAAUAGAUGAAAGAGCAGCCUUUCUAUCUGUAUAAGUUAACUCAGAGAAAAUAUUUAUCUUUAUAAGUUAACUCAGCGAAAAAAUUACAGGUACAUUAAAACAUGAGACUCUUAAAACAACUUAUUGAUAUUGAAAUUAGAAAGCUGUAUGAUAUUCAAAC